UGCCGGGGAGCCAGGGGGCAUACCCCUGUAACUUUCCUCUCUUACCAUGAAGAGAAGCAGAGCCGUCUGCCACAGGGUUAGGCAACUUGUCCCUCAUCCCUUGUGGGGACCCCUCUCUGAGUAGCCUUCCUGUUAAGAAAACAAAAGAACAUGUGAGAUCACGGAGCUGCAGACUGCACCUUGGAGAUCACUGAAUCUUCUCUUCUCUUGGCCAGAGGAGGGGAUAGAAGAAAGCAGACAUGCCUGAGGCCACACAGCUGGCUGUCAUAGAAGUUACUUGGACAACACCACCCACCCCUGGGGGGUGGGGUGGUGGGAACUUGCUUGGUGAUGGCAACAAACAAACAAACACUUUCCCCUUCCCACUUCUCUUCCGGUAUUCCAGACAGGAGGAAUAAUGUACUGAUCUGCUGACAUUAAGAAGGACCCUAUUUUCAGAUUACUUCUUCAAAGGAGCAGCAUCUACAUUGGCAAGGUGAUUACAACCCAAGCACACAGCUGAUUUGGAAGACUUGAGUCCCAAAAGAUGACUUUUUUUUUUCCUCCUCCUCUGCAGGAUGCUUUAGCUUGAAACAUCUGGGUAACUGCUUAACACCUUCCUAUUUUGCAGAACAUUCCCAGCAUCGGGGCCGUUUGCAUCUUUCUGGGCUAGUA
Molecule: long non-coding RNA, 654 nt
Filed under: Homo sapiens (human)
Lineage: Eukaryota; Metazoa; Chordata; Mammalia; Primates; Hominidae
Description: HSALNT0297545
Source: RNAcentral